CCCUUAGAUGUUCUGGGCCGCACGCGCGCUACACUGAUGCAUUCAACGAGCCUAUCCUUGACCGACAGGUCCGGGUAAUCUUUGAAUCUGCAUCGUGACGGGGAUAGAUUAUUGCAAUUAUUAAUCUUCAACGAGGAAUGCCUAGUAGGCGCAAGUCAUCAGCUUGCGUCGAUUACGUCCCUGCCCUUUGUACACACCGCCCGUCGCUCCUACCGAUUGGGUGUGCUGGUGAAAUGUUCGGAUCGGCCGUUUGUCGCGGUUUCCGCGUCAUGUGGCUGAGAAGUUCAUUAACCCUCCCACCUAGAGGAAGGAGAAGUCGUAACA
This 324-nucleotide ribosomal RNA is filed under the name uncultured eukaryote. RNAcentral describes it as "partial 18S ribosomal RNA". It matches the Rfam family "Eukaryotic small subunit ribosomal RNA", at positions 1470 to 1796 of the family's 1831-position model. The record is from RNAcentral.